UACGGAGGGUGCAAGCGUUAUCCGGAUUUACUGGGUUUAAAGGGUGCGUAGGUGGUUUGGUAAGUCAGUGGUGAAAUACUUUCGCUUAACGAAGGAACUGCCAUUGAUACUACCAGUCUUGAAUACAGUGGAGGUAGGCGGAAUGCGUCAUGUAGCGGUGAAAUGCUUAGAUAUGACGCAGAACACCAAUUGCGAAGGCAGCUUGCUACACUGUUAUUGACACUGAGGCACGAAAGCGUGGGGAUCAAACAGG
This 253-nucleotide ribosomal RNA is filed under the name uncultured bacterium. RNAcentral describes it as "partial 16S ribosomal RNA". It matches the Rfam family "Bacterial small subunit ribosomal RNA", at positions 524 to 776 of the family's 1533-position model. The record is from RNAcentral.